UACGGAAGGCAGCAGUGGGGAAUAUUGCACAAUGGGCGAAAGCCUGAUGCAGCUAUGCCGCGUGUAUGAAGAAGGCCUUAGGGUUGUAAAGUACUUUCAUCGGGGAGGAAAAAACAAAACUAAUAAUUUUAUUUCUUGACGUUACCCGAAAAAGAAGCACCGGCUAACUCCGUGCCAGCAGCCGCGGUAAUACGGAGGGUGCUAGCGUUAAUCAGAAUUACUGGGCGUAAAGAGCACGUAGGUGGUUUUUUUAAGUCAGAUGUGAAAUCCCUGGGCUUAACCUAGGAACUGCAUUUUGAAACUGAAAUACUAGAGUAUCGUAGAGGGAGGUAGAAUUCUAGGUGUAGCGGUGAAAUGCGUAGAUAUCUGGAGGAAUACCUGUGGCGAAAGCGGCCUCCUAAACGAAUACUGACACUGAGGUGCGAAAGCGUGGGGAGCAAACGAGGAUUAGGAUACC
This 457-nucleotide ribosomal RNA is filed under the name uncultured bacterium. Its description in RNAcentral is "bacterial SSU rRNA". It matches the Rfam family "Bacterial small subunit ribosomal RNA", at positions 340 to 786 of the family's 1533-position model. The record is from RNAcentral.